This 247-nucleotide ribosomal RNA is filed under the name uncultured bacterium. Its description in RNAcentral is "partial 16S ribosomal RNA". It matches the Rfam family "Bacterial small subunit ribosomal RNA", at positions 523 to 769 of the family's 1533-position model. The record is from RNAcentral.
AUACGGAGGAUCCGAGCGUUAUCCGGAUUUAUUGGGUUUAAAGGGUGCGUAGGCGGAAUAAUAAGUCAGUUGUGAAAGUCUGUGGCUUAACCAUAGAAUUGCAGUUGAAACUGAAUUUCUUGAGUGUAGAUAAGGAUGGUGGAAUUUGUGGUGUAGCGGUGAAAUGCAUAGAUAUCACGAAGAACUCCAAUUGCGAAGGCAGCCAUCCGGGCUACAACUGACGCUGAGGCUCGAAAGUGCGGGAAUC